UUUUACGGAUCUAGCGGCGCAGCGGAGGCAAGGAGGAGAGCGAUGGCUGCGGCGGUCGAUGGAGCAGUUCAACAGCGGCGGCGCGCCCCGCCUACGGCCAAGGGUGGCGGCGUCCAGGCGACGGGCGGCCGACUUAAUCACCACCCUCUCCCGCCGUUGCUCGAGGUGUGUUGCCCGGGGUUGUCGUCGGGUCGUGGCCGGAUCGGCAUGUGGCUCCUCGUGCAGAGGAAGCUGCGCAGCGGCGUCUCGGCGACAAGGAGGAGCGCCGGCGGCGGAGGAGGGGAUGAGGAGGAGCGCCGGCGAGGCGGAUCCGACCGGCCCCGCUGCCCACCCCUGGAGCGCCUCACCGCUUCUUCCUCUGUGAGGAGAAAUCGUUCACAGGCUAUCCCCUCUCGCCGGUGCCGGAGAGUGAGGGCAACCUAGGGUGGCGACAGCCCGGAUCCAAAUCCAGAAUUUCCCCGCCUGGAUUCGUGGGAAGAGGAUGGCAGCACCCGACGGCGGCGGCGUCCUGACUCAUCGGAGGUACGUGCAACUCUGCUAGCUCCUGGUUCUGGCACAACCCCUGAUGGCCGGCGAGGUGAGGAGUGAGGUGGCGUCAACGACUGCGGUGAAAUCCGUAGAGCGGAGAUCGAUCGCCCGUCCGCUCGUCUCAUCUGUCGUCGGCUGCCCUACCGCGUCGUUGGUCGCUCCCUCACUACUCUCGCUCUGGCGCUUUCUCCGUUGCCCGGUCGCCAACCCCCGUUUCACCGCUGUUGGCUGCCCGGACUGCUUGUGCCGGCGUGCUGCACUGCUGCAUCUCUGCACCACUGCACAAAGCCAUCAACACACCAGCAAUCCACCAUCCCAGCAAGCACAAGAUGCACAACACAGCUGCACGCCCCAUCUGAUGGCUAUGAGAAUGCCUCUCCAGACGGCCGUGGUGACAGAUAUCUGUCGACAGGGAGGACUUGAGAAUAUGCAGCACUUCGUCGGCUCAACGUCGAUUUGUUUUAUUGGCGUUGUCUUGCUUGUUGGAUUCGUGCAUGCAUAGAUGGAUCAUUGACCUUGAUCUACAUUGUCGUAUUAGUCUUGGCAUCAAUCUUCAUCACCGUAUCCUUCAGUGGUGUUGCUGUUGUGAUUUUUUUACUGGAGCUGUUGUGAUCUUUAAUUAGUUCUGUUUAUUCUACCAAUGUACCACAUUGCAUGUGUGAUCACAUCGUUGAUGUAAUACCGAAAUUAAUUUACUCGAUCAAAAUUUUUUUAAUCUAA
Long non-coding RNA from Oryza sativa Japonica Group (Japanese rice), 1248 nucleotides. RefSeq lists it as uncharacterized. NCBI's taxonomy places the organism in Eukaryota, Viridiplantae, Streptophyta, Magnoliopsida, Poales, Poaceae. The record is from RefSeq and is a predicted model, not a curated record.